GGUGAGUGUAGUUCAGUUGGUAGAGCACCAGGUUGUGAUCCUGGGUGUCGCGGGUUCGAGUCCCGUCCUCACCCCA
Molecule: transfer RNA, 76 nt
Filed under: Mycobacterium tuberculosis
Lineage: Bacteria; Bacillati; Actinomycetota; Actinomycetes; Mycobacteriales; Mycobacteriaceae
Description: tRNA-His
Rfam family: tRNA
About the family: Transfer RNA (tRNA) molecules are approximately 80 nucleotides in length. Their secondary structure includes four short double-helical elements and three loops (D, anti-codon, and T loops). Further hydrogen bonds mediate the characteristic L-shaped molecular structure. tRNAs have two regions of fundamental functional importance: the anti-codon, which is responsible for specific mRNA codon recognition, and the 3' end, to which the tRNAs corresponding amino acid is attached (by aminoacyl-tRNA synthetases). tRNAs cope with the degeneracy of the genetic code in two manners: having more than one tRNA (with a specific anti-codon) for a particular amino acid; and 'wobble' base-pairing, i.e. permitting non-standard base-pairing at the 3rd anti-codon position.
Source: RNAcentral